GGGUAUAUACAGCUCAAGUGGUAGAGCGCAUGCUCAGCAUGCACAAGGUCCUGGGUUCAAUCCCCAGUAUCUCCU
Molecule: transfer RNA, 75 nt
Filed under: Camelus bactrianus (Bactrian camel)
Lineage: Eukaryota; Metazoa; Chordata; Mammalia; Artiodactyla; Camelidae
Also listed under: 2 other names
Rfam family: tRNA
About the family: Transfer RNA (tRNA) molecules are approximately 80 nucleotides in length. Their secondary structure includes four short double-helical elements and three loops (D, anti-codon, and T loops).
Source: Rfam by way of RNAcentral